CGGGUACAAACCUUUUACCGGUACACGGGUUCUAGUACAGGUACAAGGACCAAAAUGUGAAAUUUUUUUUUUCGAAAAUUAUGCUUUAAAAAUCCAUCAAAUUUAAAUUAAUUUCAUACAAAUUAAGGAUUUAACUCUAAAAAUCAUUAUAAUGAAGGUAAAAUAUUAUAAGAUUUCAAAAUACAUCAAAGCAUCAAAAUUUCAUUAUAAAAAAUGAUCUUAAGUUUCAAAAUCAUCAAAAUGUAACGGUUCACGAAAAAUGAUUUUUAGAGCUUUGGCAAAAUUGACACUAAUUUGUUGCAAUCCGUUCAAAAUAGAGAUUUAACUAAUAUGAUACCGGGGGUGGCUCUUUGAGCAUCUUUUUCAAACUAACACCUUAUUACUCCGAAAAUUCUAAAAUAUUCAAUUUUUUUUUUCAACCUUUUCGGUUAUUCAAUUCAAUCUUCAUGUAGUAGCUUCACACACUUGCCGGACGACCGGGGUGGUAGCUCUUUCCUACAUGUGGUGGUAGUUUCAUAUUCCUUUUGGAUGUAACUUUUUCCACAUCUUUUUAAACAUAGGAGUUUUUUUCCCUUUUUUUUAAAAAAAUUUCAAACUCUCCCUAAAUUAGACAAUCUCACAAUUGAAAAUAUUUUGACAAAUUUUAGUCUAUUAGCGAAUAUCCAUCUAUCAUAUUCAACACACACAAUCAAGAUGAAUUAAUUACCAAGAGGUCAAAUUUGAUUUCAAAAUUUUGAUGAAUAUAUGUAUUAAGAAAUCAUAUAUUAAAUUAUCGUCAAAAUAAUAAAAAAUGGAGUAAAACUGAUAAUUAAUAUGAAGUUAAUU
This 825-nucleotide long non-coding RNA is filed under the name Ananas comosus (pineapple). RNAcentral's name for it is "long non-coding RNA (ACOM_LNC043639)". Lineage: Eukaryota; Viridiplantae; Streptophyta; Magnoliopsida; Poales; Bromeliaceae. The record is from RNAcentral.